GACGAACGCUGGCGGCGUGCUUAACACAUGCAAGUCGAACGGAAAGGCCCUGCUUUUGUGGGGUGCUCAAGUGGCGAACGGGUGAGUAACACGUGAGUAACCUGCCCUUGACUUUGGGAUAACUUCAGGAAACUGGGGCUAAUACCGGAUAGGAGCUCCUGCUGCAUGGUGGGGGUUGGAAAGUUUCGGCGGUUGGGGAUGGACUCGCGGCUUAUCAGCUUGUUGGUGGGGUAGUGGCUUACCAAGGCUUUGACGGGUAGCCGGCCUGAGAGGGUGACCGGCCACAUUGGGACUGAGAUACGGCCCAGACUCCUACGGGAGGCAGCAGUGGGGAAUAUUGCACAAUGGGCGGAAGCCUGAUGCAGCAACGCCGCGUGCGGGAUAACGGCCUUCGGGUUGUAAACCGCUUUCGCCUGUGACGAAGCGUGAGUGACGGUAAUGGGUAAAGAAGCACCGGCUAACUACGUGCCAGCAGCCGCGGUGAUACGUAGGGUGCGAGCGUUGUCCGGAUUUAUUGGGCGUAAAGGGCUCGUAGGUGGUUGAUCGCGUCGGAAGUGUAAUCUUGGGGCUUAACCCUGAGCGUGCUUUCGAUACGGGUUGACUUGAGGAAGGUAGGGGAGAAUGGAAUUCCUGGUGGAGCGGUGGAAUGCGCAGAUAUCAGGAGGAACACCAGUGGCGAAGGCGGUUCUCUGGGCCUUUCCUGACGCUGAGGAGCGAAAGCGUGGGGAGCGAACAGGCUUAGAUACCCUGGUAGUCCACGCUGUAAACGGUGGGUACUAGGUGUGGGGUCCAUUCCACGGGUUCCGUGCCGUAGCUAACGCUUUAAGUACCCCGCCUGGGGAGUACGGCCGCAAGGCUAAAACUCAAAGGAAUUGACGGGGCCCCGCACAAGCGGCGGAGCAUGCGGAUUAAUUCGAUGCAACGCGUAGAACCUUACCUGGGUUUGACAUGGAUCGGGAGUGCUCAGAGAUGGGUGUGCCUCUUUUGGGGUCGGUUCACAGGUGGUGCAUGCCUGUCGUCAGCUCGUGUCGUGAGAUGUUGGGUUAAGUCCCGCAACGAGCGCAACCCUUGUUCACUGUUGCCAGCACGUUAUGGUGGGGACUCAGUGGAGACCGCCGGGGUCAACUCGGAGGAAGGUGGGGAUGACGUCAAGUCAUCAUGCCCCUUAUGUCCAGGGCUUCACGCAUGCUACAAUGGCUGGUACAGAGAGUGGCGAGCCUGUGAGGGUGAGCGAAUCUCGGAAAGCCGGUCUCAGUUCGGAUUGGGGUCUGCAACUCGACCUCAUGAAGUCGGAGUCGCUAGUAAUCGCAGAUCAGCAACGCUGCGGUGAAUACGUUCCCGGGGCU
Molecule: ribosomal RNA, 1346 nt
Filed under: uncultured bacterium
Lineage: Bacteria
Description: partial 16S ribosomal RNA
Rfam family: Bacterial small subunit ribosomal RNA
Source: RNAcentral